GACGAACGCUGGCGGCGUGCUUAACACAUGCAAGUCGAACGGAAAGGCCCUGUUCUUGUGGGAUGCUCGAGUGGCGAACGCGUGAGUAACACGUGAGUAACAUGCCCUUGACUUUGGGAUAACUUCUGGAAACUGGGGUUAAUAUACGACAUGAGCUCUUGCUGCAUGGGGGGGGUUGGAAAAUUUUGGCGGUUGAGGAUGGACUGGCGGCCUCUCAUCUUGUUGGUGAGGUAGUGGAUUAGAAAGGCUCUGACGGGUAGCCGGCCUGCGAGGGUGACCGGCCACAUUGGGACUGGGGUGCGGCCCGGACUCCUACGGGAGGCAGCAGUGGGGGAUAUUGCACGAUGGGCGGAAGCAGGAUGCAGCAACGCCGCGUGCUGAAUGACGGCCUUCGGGGUGUAACCCGCUUUCGCCUGGAACGAAGCGUGAGUGACGGUAAUGGGUAAAAAAGCACCGGCUAACUACGUG
Molecule: ribosomal RNA, 468 nt
Filed under: uncultured bacterium
Lineage: Bacteria
Description: partial 16S ribosomal RNA
Rfam family: Bacterial small subunit ribosomal RNA
Source: RNAcentral